GUCUACAUAGAUUAUUUGUAUAAAUCGUGAUGCUGUUAACCUCAAGAAGAGAUUAAUUCUCUGUAGUCG
RNAcentral lists this transfer RNA (69 nucleotides) under Proteocephalus macrocephalus. RNAcentral's name for it is "tRNA-Asn". Lineage: Eukaryota; Metazoa; Platyhelminthes; Cestoda; Proteocephalidea; Proteocephalidae. The record is from RNAcentral.